UGGGCUAUCGCCAAGCGGUAAGGCAACGGAUUUUGAUUCCGUCAUUGCGUUGGUUCGAAUCCAGCUAGCCCAGCCA
This 76-nucleotide transfer RNA is filed under the name Bacillus sp. TS-2. RNAcentral's name for it is "tRNA-Gln". It matches the Rfam family "tRNA". Rfam says of the family: Transfer RNA (tRNA) molecules are approximately 80 nucleotides in length. Their secondary structure includes four short double-helical elements and three loops (D, anti-codon, and T loops). The record is from RNAcentral. Lineage: Bacteria; Bacillati; Bacillota; Bacilli; Caryophanales; Bacillaceae.